GAUCCUGGCUCAGGACGAACGCUGGCGGCGUGCCUAAUACAUGCAAGUCGAGCGGACCGACGGGAGCUUGCUCCCUUAGGUCAGCGGCGGACGGGUGAGUAACACGUGGGUAACCUGCCUGUAAGACUGGGAUAACUCCGGGAAACCGGGGCUAAUACCGGAUGCUUGAUUGAACCGCAUGGUUCAAUCAUAAAAGGUGGCUUUUAGCUACCACUUACAGAUGGACCCGCGGCGCAUUAGCUAGUUGGUGAGGUAACGGCUCACCAAGGCGACGAUGCGUAGCCGACCUGAGAGGGUGAUCGGCCACACUGGGACUGAGACACGGCCCAGACUCCUACGGGAGGCAGCAGUAGGGAAUCUUCCGCAAUGGACGAAAGUCUGACGGAGCAACGCCGCGUGAGUGAUGAAGGUUUUCGGAUCGUAAAACUCUGUUGUUAGGGAAGAACAAGUACCGUUCGAAUAGGGCGGUACCUUGACGGUACCUAACCAGAAAGCCACGGCUAACUACGUGCCAGCAGCCGCGGUAAUACGUAGGUGGCAAGCGUUGUCCGGAAUUAUUGGGCGUAAAGCGCGCGCAGGCGGUUUCUUAAGUCUGAUGUGAAAGCCCCCGGCUCAACCGGGGAGGGUCAUUGGAAACUGGGGAACUUGAGUGCAGAAGAGGAGAGUGGAAUUCCACGUGUAGCGGUGAAAUGCGUAGAGAUGUGGAGGAACACCAGUGGCGAAGGCGACUCUCUGGUCUGUAACUGACGCUGAGGCGCGAAAGCGUGGGGAGCGAACAGGAUUAGAUACCCUGGUAGUCCACGCCGUAAACGAUGAGUGCUAAGUGUUAGAGGGUUUCCGCCCUUUAGUGCUGCAGCAAACGCAUUAAGCACUCCGCCUGGGGAGUACGGUCGCAAGACUGAA
RNAcentral lists this ribosomal RNA (903 nucleotides) under Bacillus licheniformis. RNAcentral describes it as "bacterial SSU rRNA". It matches the Rfam family "Bacterial small subunit ribosomal RNA", at positions 15 to 898 of the family's 1533-position model. Lineage: Bacteria; Bacillati; Bacillota; Bacilli; Caryophanales; Bacillaceae. The record is from RNAcentral.